AACAAUUCAAAAGAUGCAAAAGGAUGCUUUGGAGAUCCACAUUUUGGAACAUAAGUUAAAGAUAUCUGGCACCUAUACAAAAAACUGUGCUGGACCAUUUUGAAACCACAGUUGUAAUUGGGGCUGACACAAAGGCUGUGCGAGGAUUGUGGUUGAAGACCAGCCGACCCGAAGACCCGUAGGUGUAAGGGGUCGGGAGAGGACCCAAAUGCAGCACACGUAGGCAGGCAGACAGUCGGUAAUGACCUUUAUUUAACACGUUCUUUAUGGACAGUUUGAAGAUAUGGGGUCAACUUGCAGGAGUCAGCACAACAGGCAGGUGUGCUUGGCAAAGGCAGAUCCGUUGUUGGUAGUGAUGGCCAAAAUGAAAAGACUCUUCGGAGCACGUACCAAGCAAAAAGGGGAGUUCCAGAUGAAGCUUGUGUCGAGGCUUGUGUCGUUCCCAUAAUAAUCAAGUGACCAAUGACAAACAAAGCCUCGGUUUAUGAGGGUGACGUUUGAAGCUUCGUUUGGGACCCACGCGAGUCAACCCUCUCGACUCAGACAAGACUGUUUCGGAAUGCAGUUCCAGAGUCUAGUUCACGGACAAAGCGUUUCUGUGUUACAAAAUAAGAACUUUAAUUUAGUAUGUACAUUGAAAGUAGCCUACCUAAGUUUGUUGGCGGCGGAAGGAAGGGUCGAUCCCCGGGACAGAGACAGAGCAGGCAGGUCGGGGACAGGCAGGGUCGAUACCAGGGAAUCAGUCGGGAAAAAAUGCUGGAGAGACUAAUACGGAUGACAUAGGACAAUCUGGCACUGAGUGAACUGAGAGGGGAGUCUAUAUACCGGAUUGAUUAGUGAUCAGAGGCAGCUGAGCGCAAAACAGGUGAGGAGAGUUGGACUGAUGAUCGGAGAGUGGCAGGCAGGCAGGUGAGGAGAAGGGAGGGCCGGUGGAAAAACCCUGGUAGCUAAGGUGAAUGAGAUGACUGAGAGGGGAGCUCAUGACAGUAGGAUUGAAUUAAUCUGCAUGUACCAGGUAGGACUGGACCAGCAGUGCACCCCUCAACACCCCUACAGCCAUCAAGGUUGUCCCUCUCCCCUCCCUUGCAUCUUCUCCUUGAUCAAAUUCUCUUCCACUUUGUCUUUCUUUUUGCCUCCAUUUCUGGGUGAUACGAUGAUGAGAGCAGUUUACACUUGCUUGACGUAACAGAUCGAGGUAAAGAGAGAUGGUGAAGAUGACAAAUGGAUCUGUCAUCUUCACCUCAGGGAAAGGGGUGCUGACGGCCAAGUCUCUGCUGCUAGAGCUAAACUAUCCAAAGGCUCCGUUUGGAUAAGAUAAUGGAGACCUGUGGGGUAUACUACGAACCUCGCUGAACAUACCCAGGCGCUCUUGGGAAAAACUGGAUUGACAAACGAAACUCGCAAUCAGACUUAAAUGGUACUACGAAGCUCACUUAGGAUUCGAUUUGUCAAUCCAGGUUUUCCGCUUUAGGGUCAAUGCGCGUUCACAUAAAAGGGGUGUAUAUCGCAUAAUUUUACUCACCUUUACAAACUCGAUAGAAUAAGAGCAGUAUAUUUCACUCAAGAGGAACAGAUAGUCAUAAUGAACUCCUAUGGGGAGUUCAAUAAUCAGAUAACAGCUAGGGGCAACACAGUUGCACAUAAUAAGGCUUUGGGGGUGUGCUGGCAAAAAACAGGCAAUUAAGUUUAAAUUCGUAGAUGAAAAGAUUCUGCAUGUUGUCUGAAAAAGUACUAUGCCAAAUGCAGAAUUGUUUGUUAUUAAUCCCAAUAGAGUGAUGAUGAUUUCAAAAUGCACAUGGUCCACAGGAACACCCAGAAAUGUUGACGAUAUAACCCGAUAGAUUUAGGCUCCGCUUACACGAGGACGCUUGCGGGUAAAAACAACCAAAUAUUUUAUCUGAAGUGCCUUUCGUUUACAUGGUGACUGCGUUUUCGGUGUUGUGUGAUAGUGUAUCACAGCAACACACUUUUGCGUCACCGUAUGCACGCAGAUUUCCUCAUUCCCAUCUGACCCUGGCAUACCCAGUUGCUCACCCGCUUUUGAUGCUGGUAUAAUUCUACCAAGCUAGGUGUGAGAAAGCUAGAAUGCUUGGAAAGGGAACCAGGGGGGGGGGGGGGGGGGGGGGGAGCACCACAGGGUUGGGGUGAGGGUGAGUUGUACGAUGAUUGAUAGCUAGCAAAGAUAACUGAUCCAACUCUGGUGUCCUCCUGUUAGCCCGUAUAGAGCUCUAGACCUUCUAUCGCGGGUCUCUACAAAAAAAUCAAAAUCAUCAGUCUUCCUGCAACAUACAGUAUUCACAUAAAGCACUUACAGAAGCACUUACAAACAUCUUGAGGUUUAGAGAGGACAUGAUCAGAUGACAAUAUUUAUGUGGCUUCAUUGAAAGAGCUGUCAUUUGUUUUAGCAAACGUUAGUACGUACUCUCUCUGAGCACUGAGAGGGGGAGAGCAUUGAGAGGGGAGAGCAGAGAGAGAGAGAGAGAGAGAGAGAGAGAGAGAGAGAGAGAGAGAGAGAGAGAGAGAGAGAGAGAGAGAG
Molecule: long non-coding RNA, 2536 nt
Organism: Gadus morhua (Atlantic cod)
Lineage: Eukaryota; Metazoa; Chordata; Actinopteri; Gadiformes; Gadidae
Exons: 3
Source: RefSeq, a predicted model, not a curated record